This 279-nucleotide ribosomal RNA is filed under the name Bacillus paralicheniformis. RNAcentral's name for it is "partial 16S ribosomal RNA". It matches the Rfam family "Bacterial small subunit ribosomal RNA", at positions 1108 to 1388 of the family's 1533-position model. The record is from RNAcentral. Lineage: Bacteria; Bacillati; Bacillota; Bacilli; Caryophanales; Bacillaceae.
AUCUUAGUUGCCAGCAUUCAGUUGGGCACUCUAAGGUGACUGCCGGUGACAAACCGGAGGAAGGUGGGGAUGGGGUCAGAUCAUCAGACCCCAUACGACCUGGGAAACACACGUGGUACAAUGGGCAGAGCAAAGGGCAGCGAAGCCGCGAGGCUAAGCCAAUCCCACAAAUUUGUUCUCAUUUCGGAUCGCAGUCUGCAACUCGUCUGCGUGAAGCAGGAAUCGCUAGUAAUCGCGGAUCAGCAUGCCGCGGUGAAUACGUUCCCGGGCCUUGUACAC